This 444-nucleotide ribosomal RNA is filed under the name uncultured bacterium. RNAcentral's name for it is "partial 16S ribosomal RNA". It matches the Rfam family "Bacterial small subunit ribosomal RNA", at positions 338 to 795 of the family's 1533-position model. The record is from RNAcentral.
CCUACGGGAGGCUGCAGUGGGGGAUAUUGGACAAUGGGGGGGAACCCUGAUCCAGCGACGCCGCGUGAGUGAAGAAGUAUUUCGGUAUGUAAAGCUCUGUCAGCAGGGAAGAAAGCAAUGACGGUACCUGACCAAGAAGCCCCGGCUAACUACGUGCCAGCAGCCGCGGUAAUACGUAGGGGGCAAGCGUUAUCCGGAAUUACUGGGUGUAAAGGGAGCGUAGACGGCUGUGCAAGUCUGGAGUGAAAGGCGGGGGCCCAACCCCCGGACUGCUCUGGAAACUGUGUAGCUAGAGUGCUGGAGAGGCAAGCGGAAUUCCUAGUGUAGCGGUGAAAUGCGUAGAUAUUAGGAAGAACACCAGUGGCGAAGGCGGCUUGCUGGACAGUAACUGACGUUGAGGCUCGAAAGCGUGGGGAGCAAACAGGAUUAGAUACCCUAGUAGUC